AAGGACGGGCACGCUGGUAUGAUUAACACAUGCAGUUGAACGAGGAUUUAUCCUAGUAGCGGACGGGUGAGUAAUACGUGAGAAUCUGCCUUUAGGAGGGGAAUAACAAUUGGAAACGAUUGCUAAUGCCCCAUAUGCUUACGAGUGAAAUGAUUUUUUCGCCUGAAGAUGAGCUCACGCCUGAUUAGUUUGUUGGUAGGGUAAUGGCCUACCAAGACUACGAUCAGUAGCUGGUUUGAGAGGAUGAUCAGCCACACUGGAACUGAGACACGGUCCAGACUUCUACGGAAGGCAGCAGUGGGGAAUUUUCCGCAAUGGGCGAAAGCCUGACGGAGCAAUACCGCGUGAGGGAUGACUGCCUAUGGGUUGUAAACCUCUUUUAUUAAGGAAGAUAAUGACGGUACUUAAUGAAUAAGCAUCGGCUAACUCCGUGCCAGCAGCCGCGGUAAUACGGGGGAUGCAAGCGUUAUCCGGAAUCAUUGGGCGUAAAGAGUCUGUAGGUUGCUUAGUAAGUCUGCUGUUAAAUAUUAGAGCUCAACUUUAAGCAAGCAGCAGAAACUACUAGGCUAGAGUGUGGUAGAGGUAGAGGGAAUUCCCAGUGUAGCGGUGAAAUGCGUAGAUAUUGGGAAGAACACCAGAAGCGAAGGCGCUCUACUGGGCCAUGACUGACACUGAGAGACGAAAGCUAGGGGAGCAAAUGGGAUUAGAUACCCCAGUAGUCCUAGCCGUAAACGAUGGAUACUAGAUGUUGUGCGUAUCGAUCCGUGCAGUAUCGUAGCUAACGCGUUAAGUAUCCCGCCUGGGAAGUACGCUCGCAAGAGUGAAACUCAAAGGAAUUGACGG
RNAcentral lists this ribosomal RNA (843 nucleotides) under uncultured bacterium. RNAcentral's name for it is "bacterial SSU rRNA". It matches the Rfam family "Bacterial small subunit ribosomal RNA", at positions 25 to 916 of the family's 1533-position model. The record is from RNAcentral.